UCCAGGCCCUACGGGGCGCAGCAGGCGCGAAACCUCCACAAUGGGCGAAAGCCUGAUCGGGGUUAUUCCGAGUGCCAUCCGCUAAGGAUGGCUUUUCCCAAGUCUAAACCGCUUGGGGAAUAAGGGGAGGGCAAGUCUGGUGUCA
RNAcentral lists this ribosomal RNA (145 nucleotides) under uncultured archaeon. RNAcentral describes it as "partial 16S ribosomal RNA". It matches the Rfam family "Archaeal small subunit ribosomal RNA", at positions 315 to 460 of the family's 1478-position model. The record is from RNAcentral.